CUUUCCCAAAUAAGGAAGGGGGAAGGGAGUCGUGAGUUACAACGGUGGGACGUGUGGUUUGGAAGGGAGAAAUGGGUGCAGAGCAGGUAACCAAGGGAACAGAUGUGAGUUAUUGAUUAGAACUGACGGGGGAAGGUUGUUUACAGUAACUAAGGGCAAGGAGGCAUGGAGAACAAGAAAGUUGAGUUCGAGAACAAAACACAAGAACGUUAACAUGCCAAACCUUGGAAGAGAAACUGACUGUAUCUGACAGUUUUACACAUUUUAGGGAGACAGGAGACAUCAAUCAACAUAUGUAAGAUGAACACUGGUUUGAUCCGGUACAACCUGAAGCAAAAGUGGGUCAACUCGAAGCCAGGAGGGGGCUUCCAGGUCACAGAAACGGGGGUCUCCCUCGGUUGCCCAGGCUGUCUCUGGUGCCCAACGCAGGGCUCCCCGUAAUCUCUACAAAUAAUCCAGUGAAGGAACACCAGAGCGUGGAAAGCUGAGGACGACCGACAAAGGACUCCCGAACAAGUAUUCUCCUUGGUUCCCGGAAUAUGGAAUCAUGAAUGUAGAAGAUUGGGACAAGGUGGGAUCAGACUUAAAACGAGCACAACAAGAGGGCCGCGAUAUUCCCGUCUCUGCUUGGUCUGUGUGGUCUGCAAUUAAAACAGCCCUGGAGCCCUUCCACACUGAGGAGGAGAAGGAGGAUUUUCAGGAUGACAUAGGAAAGUUGAAUAAUCAGGAGUCUAAUUAUCAGCUAAGUGAACCAUGACAGUCUCGUUUAAAAAAGGGCGAGAAACGGGAAGGAAUUUCUCUGGGAUUUCCUGAACCAUCAGGAGGGUCCCCGCAUAAGAGAUCAUUUAAGCCACGGGGAGAUCAACUUACAUGAAUUUUCAAAAGAAACAACUAAUCAGUUGCUUGCAUUUUCUGUUGUACUGUUACUCAGAUCUGUUGAUGAAGGUCUACUAUCAGUUUUUAAGCUGCAAAAAAUUGUUUGAAGAAAGAUAAUGAGAAAUGGGGACUCUAAUUGGCCUACAGUUCAAUAGAAGAAAACUAAGUCUACCCAAACACGAUAGUAGCCACUGUUUUCUCUAAACUAGGAAAAAGCAGCAGUAGAAUUGUUGAUUAGUCUUGCAGAAGACUAUAGUUCUCGCUGCCAUCCGGUUUUUCAGCUUAAAAAACAGGUAUGCCGAAUGCAGGGUGCUGGGAGGGCUGUGUACGUCUCUGAAACCACCUGUCUUUUGCAGAGAUGCUGGAAGGGUGCAGUUUGCCUGCUGAGUCAGACUUUGAGUUGGGCAGAUCCAGCUUUCUAGCCAGCGUGGUGCUUGCAGUGGCCCUGGCCUGGGUUGCUCAGUCUUCUGAGCCUCAAGUUCCGUGUCUCGCAGUUGAAAGUAAUGCAGUGCUGAUGGCACUGAGGUUUUUAGUGUUAAAUGGAUGAGCACUGGGAAGUGUUUUUGCUGAAUCCCCUGGCAGGCUUUUAUUGCUGUAGGCAGUAACGCAGAGCUGGGAGCAGUUUUUAUUUGUCAGUGGUGAGUAAUGUCAGUUUUUCUUCUCCUACACGGACUAGCUUUUGUUAACUUACUGAAACAAACAAUUUUUUAAGCAUUUCUGCCAGGAAGUUCCAAUUUGGCAAUCAGCGAAGGUGUUUUAUUCUACAUACGGGAGGAUACAAGGGUAGUGCAAGGGGAUGAAAGAGACAGUCCCCAAGAAUAUAAGCAUCGUGACAGCUGUGCAGGUGAAAAUUCAUAAAUGAGACUACCUCUAAAAGGAAGCUGUAAAAUCAACACACAGCGGGUCAGGAGAGAUUUGCAAAGGCGCUUUAAGGAAAUGGUGCCUUGAGAAGUCGGAGGCCUCCUUGAGAAUGCCUUCAGGAAAAUACUGUCAGAAGGGGGUUGUCAGCAGUGAAGUUGGGAAAACAGCCUCCUGGAGGUGUGGCUUGGAGGCAGAGCAUCGGGCUGCACUGGUCGGAUGCCAUUCCCCGUUGGCGCCGCAGACCAGCUUUACCAGUGGGGAUUGCCAUGCUUUCCAAGUGCAAGCCCUUAGGAAGGUGGAGGAGGGAAGAUUUAGGAAGGAAGAGGAGCUUCAAGAAGGCAGCCUUUGUCUUCCAACCAGAGCUGCUGAGGCUCCAGACCAUCCUCUCCCGUGCCCCACGGUGGCUAUUUGGGUCCUUACCACUUCCUGUCCCCCUCCUGGCAUCUCACAGGUAUUCAGGCAGCUUUGCAUCCUGGGCUUCGGUUAUUCCUGCUGUUGAGACCACUCACGCUCCAUGGUGUCAGCAGCCACGUUUGACUUGCUCAUGUGCUAGUGGGUUAGAAAUGGGGAGCAUCUGCCGAGGGAUCUGUCCUGUGGCCUGGCCUGGGUGUGGACGGCUGUGGUCCCCCAGGGCUUCGUGGAUGUUGCGUCUGAGAAGACUGGAAGUUGGCCAGAGGCCUCAUGGGGGUCCUGCAGGGACAGUCUCAAGGUGACAGCGGCUGCACCCCGAGCGCGGCCUGAACUGGAGAGGCACCUGCGCCUCUGACAUGGCUUUGCAUAACGUGCAGCAUCUUCACACCUGCUGUGUUCUGCUGGUUCCAGGCCAGUCACCAGAGCUCGUGCAGAUUUGGUGGGGUCCUCCCUCUCAAUGGCAGGUGUCGAAAGAACCUGUGAAUAUGGUCAUAGCCAUCCCAGACGUUCACUCCCUACCAAUCCCCUGGUGGUUUCCCCAGCCUUCCCCCAUCUGUAGUGAAGAACUGACACCCGCCCUCUGGUUUUAAAAUGUUUAGAAUUUGUAAUAAUUUUAUAGAUACGUAUUUUCUAGAGAGUGAUGUAACAUCCAUAAUAAUCUAAAAACAGAUUUUCUAGGAAGUUACCGUGAAAUCUACAAAGUCAAUAAAACAUUUCAUCCCAGGUGCUGAGCUGUGAGGAGAGUAUCAGGGUUUGGGCUCUGCUGCCUUUCCCCAAAGAACUCAGUUGGGAAGCAGUCAGGUACGUGGCAUCCUGGGGCCUGGCUGACCUCAAGCUUGUCUGGUACUGUUAGUUUCAGCAGCAUUUCUUCUUUAGCGAGGCUGUUGGAAGAUAAAAGGGGAAGGAGGAAUUUCUGGGCCUUGGUGGCUGUGAGGAGCUGCAAGUGAUGCUGAAUGCGAUCUUCCAGCUGGCCUGGGGCCCUGGUGGAGACUGAACAUGGAACGAGAGGCAGGUUUUGUGGGUAGACAAUGGCGUCCAUGAGAACUACUGAGUAGGCAGGAAGAAAGAUGGGUCUGAAGCUCAGGAGAGAAGUGGGGAUGGAGGCAUGCAUUCUGGAAUCGUAGACAACAGCAGACAUACUUGUUCAGCAGGAAGAAUACGCAGGUGGUUCAUCGUCUCAUCAUCAGUCAUCAUUGGACUUUGCUUUUGGCAUAGGGCAUCGUUUCUUUCUCCACUGUCCCGUGAUGGUGGCUUUUUACAUUUUAUAUUUGGGGAAACUAAGAUUCACAGUCAGGUUGCUGCUCAGUGAACCAUUAACCAUUAUUGUGCAUGGGCACUAAUGUGGGCAUUUUAAUUGUCAUGUAUCUUUAAAUAUUUUCUAUUUUUCAGAUUAGAAGAUAAUUCUGAAACAAAUGCCAGCCACUCUUUAAUUACAAAAAUGACGGAUGAGCUGUAUCACCAUGUGCCUGAGAAUCAUUGUGUUUUAAAGGACUUGGAUCAUCUUCCUACUGAGACACCCACCAGUGAUACGCAGCUAGCCCUGGCUCCCAGAAAGCCGCAGCCUUGCAGGUACAGAAGGAGAGUGAGGUACAGGUGAGGAUCACAAUGCCUGCUCCAAGUCUGGCUCUGUUUGCAGGUGGCCCCAGCUGCUCCGUGAGCUCUGCAGCACACCCUUUCCUACCCUCUUCUGCCCCAGGAUUGUGCUGGAAGUGCUGGUUGUGCUCCAAAGCAUCGGCAAGCAGUGUCACCACGUGUCUGGCCAGGUCACCAUUGCCUCGGAGCUGAGACACAGGCAGUGGGUGGAGAGGAUGUUGCGGUCUUGCCAGCGGCAGAACUACCUGCGUAUAUGGAGUAGGUGUGCGCUCACUUUCCUGUUUUGGAGGGGCACUGUGGGGCAGGAAGUCGUCACAGAUGCAGUUCCAGUCCCCACUGAAGACACACACAAUAGGCCCCUCACUAAACCCAUCGACAGGUGUUGAUAUACUUGGAGUUCACAACUGAGAGUAUGAACCCAACGUAUCUGAGACAGGUCUCAAUCCUUUUAGAAAGUUUACUUUCCCAGGGUUAAGGACGUGCUGUGACAGCCUCAGGAGAUCCUGACA
This is a non-coding RNA of Macaca mulatta (Rhesus monkey), 4250 nucleotides long. The record is from RefSeq and is a predicted model, not a curated record. Lineage: Eukaryota; Metazoa; Chordata; Mammalia; Primates; Cercopithecidae.